AGUGAACGCUGGCGGUAGGCCUAACACAUGCAGGUCGAACGGCAGCACAGUAAGAGCUUGCUCUUACGGGUGGCGAGUGGCGGACGGGUGAGGAAUACAUCGGAAUCUACUUUUUCGUGGGGGAUAACGUAGGGAAACUUACGCUAAUACCGCAUACGACCUACGGGUGAAAGCAGGGGAUCUUCGGACCUUGCGCGAUUGAAUGAGCCGAUGUCGGAUUAGCUAGUUGGCGGGGUAAAGGCCCACCAAGGCGACGAUCCGUAGCUGGUCUGAGCGGAUGAUCAGCCACACUGGAACUGAGACACGGUCCAGACUCCUACGGGAGGCAGCAGUGGGGAAUAUUGGACAAUGGGCGCAAGCCUGAUCCAGCCAUACCGCGUGGGUGAAGAAGGCCUUCGGGUUGUAAAGCCCUUUUGUUGGGAAAGAAAAGCAGCAGGUUAAUACCCCGCUGUUCUGACGGUACCCAAAGAAUAAGCACCGGCUAACUUCGUG
RNAcentral lists this ribosomal RNA (492 nucleotides) under uncultured bacterium. RNAcentral describes it as "partial 16S ribosomal RNA". It matches the Rfam family "Bacterial small subunit ribosomal RNA", at positions 29 to 507 of the family's 1533-position model. The record is from RNAcentral.